RNAcentral lists this transfer RNA (77 nucleotides) under Vicugna pacos (alpaca). RNAcentral describes it as "tRNA-Gly (ACC) (tRNA-Gly-ACC-18-1)". The stretch from base 9 to 77 matches the Rfam family "tRNA". Rfam says of the family: Transfer RNA (tRNA) molecules are approximately 80 nucleotides in length. Their secondary structure includes four short double-helical elements and three loops (D, anti-codon, and T loops). Lineage: Eukaryota; Metazoa; Chordata; Mammalia; Artiodactyla; Camelidae. The record is from RNAcentral.
GGGGGUAGGGAAUAGCUCAAUGGUAGAGCACAUGCCUACCAUGCAUGAGGUCCUGGGUUCAAUCCCCAGCACCUCCA